UGCGGUGUAGUUCAAUGGUAGAGCACUUACCUAGCAUGUUUGAGGCCCUGGGUUCAAAUCUUGGUACUGCCA
RNAcentral lists this transfer RNA (72 nucleotides) under Ictidomys tridecemlineatus (thirteen-lined ground squirrel). Its description in RNAcentral is "Spermophilus tridecemlineatus (thirteen-lined ground squirrel) tRNA". It matches the Rfam family "tRNA". From Rfam's summary of the family: Transfer RNA (tRNA) molecules are approximately 80 nucleotides in length. Their secondary structure includes four short double-helical elements and three loops (D, anti-codon, and T loops). Further hydrogen bonds mediate the characteristic L-shaped molecular structure. tRNAs have two regions of fundamental functional importance: the anti-codon, which is responsible for specific mRNA codon recognition, and the 3' end, to which the tRNAs corresponding amino acid is attached (by aminoacyl-tRNA synthetases). tRNAs cope with the degeneracy of the genetic code in two manners: having more than one tRNA (with a specific anti-codon) for a particular amino acid; and 'wobble' base-pairing, i.e. permitting non-standard base-pairing at the 3rd anti-codon position. Lineage: Eukaryota; Metazoa; Chordata; Mammalia; Rodentia; Sciuridae. The record is from Rfam by way of RNAcentral.